GUUGCAGUUAAAGCUCGUAGUUGAAUUUCGGGGUCAGUAGUCUGGUCGUGCCACCGGUACGUACUGGACUCACUGAUUCCUCCUUCCUGAUGAGCUGUAAUGCCAUUAAUUUGGUGUUGCAGGGAAUCUGGACUGUUACUUUGAAAAAAUUAGAGUGUUUAAAGCAGGCUAACGCUUGAAUACAUUAGCAUGGAAUAAUGAAAUAGGACGUUCGAUCCUAUUUUGUUGGUUUCUAGGAUUGACGUAAUGAUUAAUAGGGAUAGUUGGGGGCAUUAGUAUUCAAUUGUCAGAGGUGAAAUUCUUGGAUUUAUUGAAGACUAACUACUGCGAAAGCAUUUGCCAAGGAUGUUUUCAUUAAUCAAGAACGAAAGUUAGGGGAUCGAAGACGAUCAGAUACCGUCGUAGUCUUAACCAUAAACUAUGCCGACUAGGGAUCGGAUGAUGUUAAUUUUUUAAUGACUCAUUCGGCGCCUUACGGGAAACCAAAGUGUUUGGGUUCCGGGGGGAGUAUGGUCGCAAGGCUGAAACUUAAAGGAAUUGACGGAAGGGCACCACCAGGGGUGGAGCCUGCGGCUUAAUUUGACUCAACACGGGGAAACUCACCAGGUCCAGACAUAGUAAGGAUUGACAGAUUGAGAGCUCUUUCUUGAUUCUAUGGGGUGGUGGUGCAUGGCCGUUCUUAGUUGGUGGAGUGAUUUGUCUGGUUAAUUCCGUUAACGAACGAGACCUUAACCUGCUAAAUAGCUAGGCCUAACAUUGUUAGGUCGUCAGCUUCUUAGAGGGACUAUCGGUGUUUACCCGAUGGGAGUUUGAGGCAUAACAGGUCUGUGAUGCCCUUAGAUGUCUGGGCGCACGCGCGCUACACUGAU
Molecule: ribosomal RNA, 869 nt
Filed under: uncultured fungus
Lineage: Eukaryota; Fungi
Description: SSU rRNA
Rfam family: Eukaryotic small subunit ribosomal RNA
Source: RNAcentral